Penaeus vannamei (Pacific white shrimp) is the source of this 580-nucleotide non-coding RNA. Lineage: Eukaryota; Metazoa; Arthropoda; Malacostraca; Decapoda; Penaeidae. The record is from RefSeq and is a predicted model, not a curated record.
GGGGGAGCCAUAUGGUUCAAACGUGAAGCAAGAUGGCUCGCAGUGCACUUGACACGGCAUUGCAAGGGCUACGGGAUAACCCAACGACCCCUAGACUGUCGCAUGAGUUGAGAAAGCAUGAGUUUGUAACCGUGAGUCAGGAGCGGCGCUGGGAUGAGAUGCCAGCGGCCAUGCAGGCAGGGGUGACGGUGCCUCAAGCAAGCAAGGGAUCAUCGUGGCGAAUUGGUUGAUCACAUAAACUGCUUUCUGAGCUGGGUGGCAUGUCCGCUGGCAUGCCCUUGUUUAAGUGUGAUUGACCAACAUGGCGGACCUAAGAGCUUAGGGGAAAGACGAGGACCCACAUACCCUCUCUCCUCUCAACAUGGGGCCCACGUGGAGAGUGGGGGUGAGCGUGGCACUGGUACUGAUGGGUCUCGUGGCACUGUGUCAGGCAGAGGAACCCCAGUACCAGUGCUAUACCUUCGGGAAGGCCACGUACCCCGCAAAGGGAAGCCUUGACAAAAGUGUUUAUCGGCAACUGAGGGAUGAUGAACGCUGUCCAGGUAUUGGAUGCGCAGGUAUGUGAUGUUUGCUCAGUGAA